AUCAACUGGCUGAAACUGUGCACCAAAACUACGGACAAUGCUGUGAAUGGGGCCAUUCCCAAAAGAAAGAAUUUGAAAAAAAGUCGACUCAAAUAUGCCACAAGACGAAAAACAGAUGAUACAUCAGCCUCUCGAAGACAAUACCGUCAUUUUCCACACAGAGCUCCAAGAGGUGAAUGUUUAACAGCUGUUGGCAGUUGUCUCGGCCCUUGUGACGAAGGCGAACGAGUAUGUGGAGAAUCAAUUAAACCAACCCCUCUUUUUUUUGUCAGUGUUUGUGUUUGUCCGAGUUCAAAUGUCUUGAAGACACAAAUUAACAAGCCGCACCCGGAUUUUCGUGUCCACCUACGCACAACAAGCAUCCCACAUCAUCAUCAUUCGCCUUCCAUCAUUCUCAGCCAGCAACUCUUGUAGGACUGGUGGUUCACAAUUAGGUUACAGUGGGAUACUCCCCGCUGGUCAAACAUAGUGUUACAUCAUGGCCAAACGAGGGUGCUGCAGUUCGCAGCUUGAGUGUUGUUUUGGGAGACUUGGAUGCAGGUUCUGCUGCAGAUGCUGCCCCACUGCUUUCGAGUCGACAACAACUAGACUAAUGUACACACUGAUGCUGCUUUUGGGUACAGGUUUCAUGUGUGUCAGCCUCACCCCACACAUAGAAGAAAUACUAGAAGAGCAUAUACCUCAUUUUGAAGCCACCUGUGAAUUGCUGAAAAUUGGCGGAAAAUGUCAGCUGUUGGUGGGAUAUAUGGCGGUCUACCGAACUGCUUUUGCCCUUUCUGGAUUCUUUUUCUUCAUGUCGCUAAUGACUGUUGGUCUGAAGAAAAGUCGAGGCUUUAGAGCGGGUUUUCACAACGGAGCUUGGUUAUGGAAGUUUCUUCUGUUGAUUGGCAUCGGAGUUGGAGUUUUCUGUCUGCCAUCGGAAAGAAUCGCUCAUUUCCAAAUAGUUUGGAUGUAUAUAGCCCUGGUAGGAGCAGUGGCGUUCGUCCUCAUUCAAUUGUGGCUUCUCGUCUUCUUCGCGCGAAGUCUCGGCAACAAAAUCAAUCACAGGGUAGCCGAAGGUGGGAAUCCUGUCUGUUGGUACGGAGUGUCUUCCAUGUGCACCUUAUUGUGUUUCGCCAUCAGCGUCAUCGGCAUCAUGGCUCUGUUCAGCUACUUCACAACUUGGGAAGGCUGCACGACCAAUAAGAUUUUUAUUGGAAUCAACGCCGGUUUGUGCCUUUUCCUGUCGGUCGUAUCGGCCCUCAUCUGUUGUGGACCAAGAGAAACCCAUUCUGCCUUGCUGCAAGCGAGUAUCAUUUCAGUUUAUAUUACUUACUUGACGUGGACGGCUGUUUCGAGUAUUCCAAGGGAGCCGACCCCUUCGCCCGAAUCGUCUGUUCAACAGCCACAGUCCAAAAAUUUGAUGGACAUGCCGGAGAAUGGGGGCAUAUCGGAUCAAAAGUUCUACUGUGGACCAGAAGGUGCGGCUUUCGACUACAACGAGUUUGUCUUGCCUUACGUGGGUGUGGUCAUCAUGUUUUUCUCGGUGGUUUACUCCAGCUUAGGCACGUCAGCCGACAGUGCAGUGGCGCUCGGCGUGACCGGCCACCGGCGGGGCUCUGAACGAAACGCCGAACGAACAGAGAAAUCGUCAUCGUGUCUGCCAUCUUGUUGUGAAGCUCCCGACCAUGGCGAUGCAACGAACGGUGGUGGGAGUGGCGAGGAGGACAGGUGACGGUGGUGGACAACGAGUUCUUCGAAACGAACGCGAUGGAACAGUCUACAAUUACAGCCUUUUUCACGUUGUCUUUUGUUUGGCUUCCAUGUACAUCAUGAUGACGCUCACCGCAUGGCUCAGGCCGGAGCAGGCAACCCUGUCGAGUUUCAAUCAAAACUGGCCUACCGUUUGGAUUAAAAUGGGGUCUUCAUGGGCUUGCGUGGCUCUCUAUCUCAUUGCCCUACCCCUACGCCGGUUUGGACGUUACAGUCGAGUCGGCGGU
This 1979-nucleotide unclassified non-coding RNA is filed under the name Daphnia magna. Its description in RNAcentral is "serine incorporator 5, transcript variant X3". The record is from RNAcentral. Lineage: Eukaryota; Metazoa; Arthropoda; Branchiopoda; Diplostraca; Daphniidae.